RNAcentral lists this ribosomal RNA (279 nucleotides) under uncultured bacterium. RNAcentral describes it as "partial 16S ribosomal RNA". It matches the Rfam family "Bacterial small subunit ribosomal RNA", at positions 506 to 784 of the family's 1533-position model. The record is from RNAcentral.
UGCCAGCCGCCGCGGUAAUACGAAGGGGGCUAGCGUUGUUCGGAAUUACUGGGCGUAAAGCGCACGUAGGCGGACUUUUAAGUCAGAUGUGAAAUCCCAAGGCUCAACCUUGGAACUGCAUUUGAAACUGGUAAGCUAGAGGAUGUGAGAGGUGAGUGGAAUUCCGAGUGUAGAGGUGAAAUUCGUAGAUAUUCGGAAGAACACCAGUGGCGAAGGCGACUCACUGGCACAUUUCUGACGCUGAGGCGCGAAAGCGUGGGGAGCAAACAGGAUUAGAUA